RNA transcript from Hippopotamus amphibius kiboko, 5935 nucleotides. It is a transcript of the gene named multiple inositol-polyphosphate phosphatase 1, with no coding region annotated. Lineage: Eukaryota; Metazoa; Chordata; Mammalia; Artiodactyla; Hippopotamidae. The record is from RefSeq and is a predicted model, not a curated record. The transcript has 7 exons.
AAGCACAGUACUUCUGGGGUGCUGCCUCACGGAUGUCAGCUUUGCUGGUCCAGGUCAAGAUACUACCAAAAGCUCAGGAACUAAAUUUCCUGGAGGACUGAGCCUCUUCCCAGGUUCUUCUCUGCCUUGCUGUAUAGGGUUUAAUUUCAAACUCUAAAGUGGGAAGAAACCUUGGGCCCAUGCUAGGGCAGGGGCGAGGGAUUUGCCUUUUCAACAACCGCCUCGAGUGGAUUUGAUGCAGCUGGUUCAAACUACAGUUUGAAAAACAAGAGUAGAAUGCGGUAAGAAUGAUGAUACAAGAGUCAGCUGUUAACAUGUGUCCUGUUCUGGCAGCUUUGGAGGCUAAGGCAACGUCCGGGCUUAUUCACACCCUUCAUUAUUUCAACAGCGACGGAAUCGCUGAGUCAGUCCCUGAGGCACCAGUUCGCAGGGAGUGGGGGCGGCCAGGCGACGCCGACUCCACAUAAGCCACAGGUCUCCGAAGCUCCUCGAGGAUUUCCACCGGCUUCACUUGAGCCACAGGUCCGCUUGGCUCCUCGGAGCGUCCGGCACGCAUCCUCAGCGUUCAGCCAGCACCCGCUCCCUCAGAAGCCGAGAGCGGCAGACGCGCCGGUAACCCCGGGGGCACCGGCCGGAAGCGCCCUCCGGGCCCGCCCCCUGCCCACCGGAGCCGGAAGCCGACGACCCAGCCGGUACGUCGCCCUCCGCGGGCCGCAGCGCACCAUGCUCCCCGGUCCCUGCCGCCUCCUCAGGGUCCCCGUAGCACCCGUCGCGGCCCUGGCUGUGGCGCUGGUCUCGUCGCUCUCUCGCUGCUCCCUCCUGGAGCCGGAGGACCGCGUGGCCUCGGCGCUCAGCCCCUACUUCGGCACCAAGACUCGCUACGAGGAUGCCAACCCCGGGCUGCUGCUGGACCCCGAGGCGCCGCGGCGGGAUCCGCAGCUGCUGGAGGAGACCUGCACCCCUGUGCAGCUGGUCGCCCUCAUCCGCCACGGCACCCGCUACCCGACGACCAAACAGAUCCGCAAGCUGCGGCAGCUGCACGGGCUGCUGCAGGCCCGCGGGUCCGGGGCUGACGUGACUCGCGCUACCGGCGGCUGCGACCUGGGCGCUGCGCUGGCCGACUGGCCUCUGUGGUACGCGGACUGGAUGGACGGGCAGCUGGUGGAGAAGGGGCGGCAGGACAUGCGACAGCUCGCCCUGCGCCUGGCCUCUCUUUUCCCGGCCCUCUUCUGCCGAGAGAACUGCGGCCGCCUGCAGCUAGUCACCAGCUCCAAGCACCGUUGCGUGGACAGCGGCGCUGCCUUCCUGCAGGGGCUGUGGCAGCACUACCAUCCUGGGUUGCCGCCGCCCGACGUCGCAGACAUGGAGUUUGGACGUCUCAGAAUUAAUGAUAAAUUAAUGAGGUUCUUUGACCAUUGUGAGAAGUUUUUAACUCAAGUGGAAAGGAAUGCUACAGCUCUUUAUCAUGUAGAAGCCUUCAAAACUGGACCAGAAAUGCAGAACAUUUUAAAAAAAGUUGCAGGUAUUUUGCAAGUGCCAGUCAACAACUUAAAUGCAGAUUUAAUUCAGGUAGCUUUUUUCACCUGCUCAUUUGACCUGGCAAUUAAAGGUGUUAAAUCUCCUUGGUGUGAUGUUUUUGACAUAGAUGAUGCAAAGGUUUUAGAAUAUUUAAAUGAUCUGAAACAAUAUUGGAAAAGAGGUUAUGGGUAUACUAUUAAUAGUCGAUCCAGCUGCACCCUAUUUCAGGAUAUCUUUCAGCACUUGGACAAAGCAGUUGAACAGAAACAAAGAGUUCCGAGGCUACUUUUUGCUUUCUCCGUCCCUCCUCCACCCCACAUUGAGAUGGUACACAGUUCUCAACCAAUUUCCUCUCCAGUCAUCCUUCAGUUUGGUCAUGCAGAGACCCUUCUUCCACUGCUUUCUCUCAUGGGCUACUUCAAAGACAAGGAGCCCCUAACAGCUUACAAUUAUAAGGAGCAAAUGCAUCGGAAGUUCCGAAGUGGUCACAUUGUACCCUAUGCCUCAAACCUAAUAUUUGUGCUUUACCAUUGUAAAAAUGCUAAGACUCCUAAAGAAGAAUUCCAAGUGCAGAUGUUACUGAAUGAAAAGGUGUUACCAUUGGCUCACUCACAGGAAACUGUUUCUUUGUAUGAAGACCUGAAGAACCACUACAAGGAAAUCCUUCAGAGUUGUCAUCCCAGUGAGGAAUGUGAACUACCAAAGGUGAACACAUCUGAUGAGCUAUGAGUAACUGGCAAACAUUUUUAAUUCAUCAAGAAUCUCCAGGGAGGGAUCCCACACUUGGAGUAGGUGCGCAGUCCCUGGCUACAGAAAGCUUUAACAUUACUUGGGUAUUUCUGUCUUUUCAAAGAAGAACGUUGUUUCUUUUUGAGUCUAAACAUGGAUGUGUAAGAAAUGAUUCUUCACUGAAGCAGCUCUCUUAAGGGAAAAAAAUCUACUCAAAGAGAUAACUGACACUAUAAAUUUUUACAUAAAUUAAAUUCUUACUAUUUAUAUAAGAAAUCUCACAGUGAGAUUAUGAUUUCAAAAUGAUACUUGAAAGUUCUGGAGUAACAAAAUAUUAUGUCAAUUGAACAUAACUUGAUUGGACUAAGUCUGGGAACGUUACCAGUUGUACUGCAGUUCUUUCUUUUUUCCUCAGGCAGCACAGUUCUAGUAUUGUCUUUCUUAAUCAAAAGUGUUAUGAUUCACUGGGAGUAUCGCUUUUGAAGAAAGCUAACAUCUCUCUAGUUGAGAAUUUAAAAGAACAUCUUCACUGAAAGAAGACAAAAAUAUAAUAAGAUAAAUAUCUUUGUUAAUAGUAUUUAUAAAGUAAUUGAACACUGUUUCAAUAAUUCCUUUUAACCUCCUAGUAGGUCUUGCAAAGCCGUUUUAAUCACUUGUCAUGCCUGUCUCACACAUAUAACAGUGGGAGAACAAAGAGGACCUUAGCAACAAGACAGAAGAAUAGAACCAAAGUGUCUCAAGUCCAUUGCUUAGCGUUUUUUAAAAAUUAUGUCAUUUUGCUUGUAUUUUUAUAUUUUGCUAUUAUUUGAAAUAUAUCUUUUGAUGGUUUAAUUUCUUUUUUUAAUGUUCUUUAUUUUUGUAAAAGACUUCAUUCUGGUGGGCUUAGUUUCACAGAUAUGAACCCAUUUCAGAGAAAUAGUUCUAAGUUCUGUCAAAUGCCAGGAAAGUGUUUGCUCUAGUAAUAAACAGAAUCUUGUGACUUUACUACCAGGUCUUCUCUGUUCUCCAUAUUGAUACACAAUCAGUAAUUGAUGGUAAAAGGCUAGCAUUUCAGGCAGUUUUGACUAAAUCAGGCAAUAUAAGGAAAUUUUCUUCUAAUAGAAAUUUCCUCAGAUUUUCACUUCCUAAGGAAAAAUGGAAAUCCAUUUUAUUAAAAAUCUAGGUAAAAAAGCGUUACAACUAUAUUGAAAUUAUAAAAGAAGCAUAGAUCAUUGCUCUUCAGAUGAAUGAUGUUCAUAAAAUAGGUGAUUAGCUGAUAAAUACUACUGAUGCAUCAAUACACUGCUGAUUGUUCCUGCAAAAGCCUGUCAUUAAUCUUUCUUUUUUUCUUUUUUAUUUAUUUUUUUAAACUCUUUAUUGGAAUAUAUUUGCUUUACACUCUUGUACCCGUCUCUGAGGUACACCAAAGUGAAUCAGCUGCAUCUACACACACAUCCCCUUUUUUUAAAUUUGUAAGUAGGCAGCUGAGAAGAGAACAGUAUAAUGAGCAUUCAUGCCCGUCAUACUGUUUUAUCAAAAUUAACAUUGUCAUUAGGUUUAGAUCCAAAUAAGAAGACUUGAGGGCUUUUGUAUGCCUCCCUCACACCCUGCCUUAGAGGUAACCACCAAUUUGAAGUUCAGUAUUCACCAUUCCAUUGCAUUCUUGAGUCUGAAAACUGGAAGUAUUUUGGGAAUUUAAAAUUUUCUAUGAAAGGACUUACACCAUGCAGAUCAUUCUUGAAAAAUUGAUUUCUUUUAAUUGCUGUAUUUGUUUUUCAAGACUUCUUGAUCCUGAUCAUUUGUCACAAAAUUAACACCAUCAGUUCAUCAAUACCUGUUGUGUACAAAUACUAGACUCAGUCUAUGGGCAUGUUGAAGUUGAAUGAACCUAGUUUUUCUUUCAAGAGUGUAUCUUUGAAGACCUUAAAACAAAUUACUUGAUGUCUGGAACAUUAAAUAAUUUGAUUCAUAAGCUUUUCAUAGACUAUUAAAGUUUUAUAGGAAUUGUUUAAUUUAUUGGUAAAUAGGACCAUAUAGUUAACAUUGUAGUUAUUGGUAUGUAAAAUAUUUCAGGAUAGAGGGUGUGUGGUCCUUUUUCACUAAUGUUACAGGUUGUGACAUUACUCUGGUGCUAUUAUUCUCACUUAGGAAAUGCCUGAAACAGGAAUCUCAUGAUAAAAGCAAAAGGUCUUAUCUAGGAUAGGAUAUAUAAAAAGUUGAACAUUGAAAAAUAACCUUUGACCAACACGAGUUCAUUCAUGAUAGGUGACCAAGUAAGUUACUCAGCUAAGCCAAAAUUUAAUCACUGUCAGUUCUGAGAUUUUGGUCAGUUAAAUAGCCUAGAACAUUAGCUAUUUUUCUGUCUGGUCUACAACGUGAUGUGUGCAGUGCAUUGUACUUAGAGUUUUUUAUAGUCAUUUUAUCAUUUUGAAGUUUCUGCUCUCCAACACAUAAUCAUGCACUUGAAAUUGUUUUUGUAUAUAAUCUUGAUCUUAAUUUUAACACUGAAAGCAAAGCUCAACUUAUAAAGGAAAAGGAGCUUCAUUUUUUUCAGCCAAAAUCAACUUUUAUGAUAUCUUUGAGUGCUUUCCUUUUGUAAAAUGUAGAAUUGAUGCAUGCCCUUAAAUAUUUGUGAGUUACAUACAACCAAACCAGAAUCUGUAAGUGUAAAUUUUUGGAAUAUGUUUCUCUAAGGUGGUAUUUCAUAUAGUUCAUUAAUGAUCCUUGGAAUUUGGACUGUGUUCUGCCAAAUGUAAGCUGAAAAUAAAUAUUUGCAUUACAAUAUAAUUUGCCUAUAUCUGGCUCUUCUCCUGAACUUACCCAAUCAUUUAAUUCUCAUAGAAUCACAGCUCACUGAAUUCUCUCCUAUUCUUUUUCUCUCACUCAGGCAUUUCCUUGCACUCACCUAUCAGCCCAAUCUACCCUUAAGCACCUUCAUGUUAAUCAAGUGAGAAGACUAGUCUUGGUGAGACAAGAUAGUGCUUUUUUUCUUCUGUCUGCAUCGUUACUCCCUGAAAUUUUCUUGUCACUCUUUGUGGGAAGACAUUCGGGAACCUUUCUGAAACCUUGAAAAUGUUAAAGUAUGUGGGCCGAGCGAUGGGAUUCAGAAUGUCCUGCUUGAGCAGUGGAGGAACUGAGGGUGCGGGGCGUGGAGACUAAUAUCACCCUGUUUGGCCCUGAAGGAUGGCUGGUUAGCCAAAGACGGGUAAGAUUCCUCAGAGGAGGAACAACCUAAGACAGGCACAGCCGUAGAGGGGCCAACAGGGGUGGUGCAUAGAGCCUUCCUUAUAUCACCGUGUUUGGCCCUGGAGGAUGACUGGUUAGCCAGAGACGGGUAAGAUUCCUCAAGGAAGGAACAACCUAAGACAGGCACAGUCUCAGAGGGGCCAACACGGGUGGGGCACAGACCCCUAAUAUCUGAGAGAGGUCUCCUGCCCCUAGGGCUGUUUUGCUCUCCACGCCCAGCUCAAAUCCACACCUGCUCAAGACCCAGGAAGUAAACAAAGAUAAUUGCCUCAGUCAUGUGAGGCCUUUGAUUGUUUAUGGGUGUAACCUGAGAAUGUUAGCCCACGAACUCAAUAAAAGCAACCUGGGAUGAGUCAGCAGGGCUCUUGAUCCGAGAGGUCUUGAGCCCCCCGGUCCCACUUUUCUCUUCAGUCUGUGUCUGUGUCUUCUUCAAGCUUGCGGCACCCGUCACUUGCCUCGAGUC